Molecule: ribosomal RNA, 922 nt
Filed under: Nehemitropia lividipennis
Lineage: Eukaryota; Metazoa; Arthropoda; Insecta; Coleoptera; Staphylinidae
Description: SSU rRNA
Rfam family: Eukaryotic small subunit ribosomal RNA
Source: RNAcentral
AAUUACCCACUCCCAGCACGGGGAGGUAGUGACGAAAAAUAACGAUACGGGACUCAUCCGAGGCCCCGUAAUCGGAAUGAGUACAAUUUAAAAAUUUUCCCGAGGAUCAAUUGGAGGGUAAGUCUGGUGCCAGCAGCCGCGGUAAUUCCAGCUCCAAUAGCGUAUAUUAAAGUUGUUGCGGUUAAAAAGCUCGUAGUCGAAUCUGUGUCCCGCGCCGCUGGUUCAUCGCUCGCGGUGUUCAACUGGCGUGUCUCGCGGGACGUCCUGCCGGUGGGCGCUCGUCCGUUUCGGCGGUCGUGGCCCAACUCGCUUCCGUCUCGCGCGGUUGCGAAUCCCAUCGCGGUGCUCUUUAUUGAGUGUCGAGGUGGGCCGGCACGUUUACUUUGAACAAAUUAGAGUGCUUAAAGCAGGCCAAUUUUGCCUGAAUAUUGUGUGCAUGGAAUAAUAGAAUAGGACCUCGGUUCUAUUUUGUUGGUUUUCGGAACCCCGAGGUAAUGAUUAAUAGGAACGGAUGGGGGCAUUCGUAUUGCGACGUUAGAGGUGAAAUUCUUGGAUCGUCGCAAGACGGACAGACGCGAAAGCAUUUGCCAAAAACGUUUUCAUUGAUCAAGAACGAAAGUUAGAGGUUCGAAGGCGAUCAGAUACCGCCCUAGUUCUAACCAUAAACGAUGCCAGCUAGCGAUCCGCCGACGUUCCUCCGAUGACUCGGCGGGCAGCUUCCGGGAAACCAAAGCUUUUGGGUUCCGGGGGAAGUAUGGUUGCAAAGCUGAAACUUAAAGGAAUUGACGGAAGGGCACCACCAGGAGUGGAGCCUGCGGCUUAAUUUGACUCAACACGGGACACCUCACCAGGCCCGGACACCGGAAGGAUUGACAGAUUGAGAGCUCUUUCUUGAUUCGGUGGGUGGUGGUGCAUGGCCGUU